RNAcentral lists this long non-coding RNA (276 nucleotides) under Monodelphis domestica (gray short-tailed opossum). RNAcentral's name for it is "lncRNA (ENSMODG00000041720.1)". Lineage: Eukaryota; Metazoa; Chordata; Mammalia; Didelphimorphia; Didelphidae. The record is from RNAcentral.
UUCCCCUCUGAUCUUGGCUACAUCAGUUCUAUUUGUGCACAACCUUUUCAAUGUUUUUUUUUUCAGCUUUUGUGGACUUUGUGGUUUUGGCAGAUGUGGAGGAACUGGUGCUAGGUGGGUCCUCAGGCUGCUUCCCUUAGUCAAUCAUGUGGCUCUGAAGGCAAGAUGGUUACACUCAGUCCUGGAACUCUCAAAAAUGCAAUCUGACUGAUGUUUAAAUGUUAAAAUCAAGUUUAAUGAAAUAAACAACAAGGAUUGGGUGAGGUUGGGGGGGCC